UCGCACUUACCCUCUACAUUUACAACAUUUGAUUCUGGUUUCUUGACAAACUUCCUUUCUCAUAAAAAAAACUAUACAAAAUAAAAAGACAUAGAGGUGUGUGUAAUUAAUUCCCAUAAUCCUGUUUCAUUCACCAGAAUCACCUCAGGAUAUACAACAUGAUACCAGAUUGAAGAAAAGGAUAUGCCAAAAGGCAGUCUGCUAAAUGGCUGAUGAUAAGAACUAAGAAUUUAGAAAAAAGUGUCACAUUUGUGCAUGCCAGUGAAAGGAUCUACCCUAAACAUCUAAAGUGAGGUUCAAAUGAGCCAUGGACUUCAAGUGAGAUCAUUUCAUCAUUUAGUACUCUUCAUUUUCAAAUGCAUAUUCCUUUUUGUUUCCACAACCUGCAAGCAUCUUCAGCUUUUAAAGCUAGGAAAUCAAGAAUUGUGGUCUAAAAUUCAUAAAUGCUUAUCCAAUUCCAGGCAAUAUUGAGUACUUUCUAGCACAUCCAGUGUGUUCAAGGAAAAUAGCUGCUGUUCCAGGACUUCUAAAGCUUUAGCAUACAUGGGGAUUUUGGUAAUCACCAACUUUGCUAGAAUGCACCAGGCAAUAAUUUUAGAAUCUAAAAUUGAGUUUGUUUGUGUUUCUAGCAGUAAAAAAAAGGUUCAGUUUUGUUUUUGUUUUUAAAGUAUAAUAAGGAUGAAAGCCCAAGAGCUAAUAGGGUUAGGACUAUUUAAAGUUCUCAUAUAUGUGCCUUGAUGCCUUAGCUUUAAAUACAGAAUCAACAAGCAUCUCCUCCUGGAUCAUGCAAGCAAUUAACGCUAGAAAAUGUUCAUCAUCCCAAGGAAUUCUAGGCAUGAAAAUAGAGUUUCUCCAAUUGAAUGCAAAUAUGAUACAGUUAAGCAAUGAAAUUCACUCCACUAACAACAAC
RNAcentral lists this long non-coding RNA (910 nucleotides) under Manihot esculenta (cassava). RNAcentral's name for it is "long non-coding RNA (MESC_LNC003585)". Lineage: Eukaryota; Viridiplantae; Streptophyta; Magnoliopsida; Malpighiales; Euphorbiaceae. The record is from RNAcentral.